This 494-nucleotide ribosomal RNA is filed under the name uncultured bacterium. RNAcentral's name for it is "bacterial SSU rRNA". It matches the Rfam family "Bacterial small subunit ribosomal RNA", at positions 899 to 1397 of the family's 1533-position model. The record is from RNAcentral.
ACUCAAAUGAAUUGACGGGGGCCCGCACAAGCAGUGGAGUAUGUGGUUUAAUUCGAAGCAACGCGAAGAACCUUACCAGGGCUUGACAUCCCUUGACGACGGUAGAGAUACCGUUUCCCUUCGGGGCAAGGAGACAGGUGGUGCAUGGUUGUCGUCAGCUCGUGUCGUGAGAUGUUGGGUUAAGUCCCGCAACGAGCGCAACCCCUACUGCCAGUUGCCAGCAUUUAGUUGGGCACUCUGGCGGGACUGCCGUUGACAAAACGGAGGAAGGUGGGGAUGAUGUCAAAUCAUCAUGCCCCUUAUGUCCUGGGCUACACACGUACUACAAUGGCCGCAACAGAGGGCUGCGACGCCGCGAGGCGAAGCGAAUCCCAAAAAGCGGUCUCAGUUCGAAUUGCAGGCUGAAACCCGCCUGCAUGAAGUCGGAAUUGCUAGUAAUGGCAGGUCAGCAUACUGCCGUGAAUACGUUCCCGGGCCUUGUACACACCGCCCGU